This 574-nucleotide long non-coding RNA is filed under the name Mytilus galloprovincialis (Mediterranean mussel). The record is from RNAcentral. Lineage: Eukaryota; Metazoa; Mollusca; Bivalvia; Mytilida; Mytilidae.
UUUUUUUUUUCAAAGUCAUUUCUUAAAUUGCAACGAAAAUAAUAUCGUAAAGGAUAACUCAUGUGCUCCAUUUUUUACUUGAGUAAAACGGUUCCUCAGUAUGGUGUCACACCACUAAUUCAUUCAAUUAGCAUUUAGAACAUGUAAAUAAGAUUGAGAAAGGAAAUGGGGAAUGUGUCAAAGCGACAACAACCCGACCAUAGAGCAGACAACAGCCGAAGGCCACCAAUGGGUCUUCAAUGUAGCGAGAAAACCUACUCUGACAAAUAAAUGAAACUUCACUUAAGGUCAAGGAUCAGUAAAUGAACUAGUCCAUAGAUUUAAAAAAAAAAUAGAACUCAAUAAGAUAUUGAAAAUAUACAUCAGAAAAUGUACAAAAAGUAUAUGUCACCGAUGGUCCGAGAGGGUACUAAAUUACAUUGAAUAUAUAGGGGAAAUCUAUAUUUUUCUUCUACAAUUUUCGGUUUCCGGUAUAAAUCGCGUGAACCGCUCCAUAGAAAUUUUUUUUAAAUUCAUUUUUUCUUCCUCUUUGUCUGUCGAAUUAGAUGAUAUUAAAAAAAAUAUGGUUACCGAC